CUCUUAUCCAGAGAGGCGGAGGGACCGGCCCUGUGAUGCCUCGGCAACCAAUCAGUAAGCAGUAACCAGUAAUCAGUAAUCAGUAUAGACCACUGAAUACUGAACACUGAUAACUGAAUCAGGUGCCAAUUCCGGCAGAGAUAGACUCUGGGAGAUGAGAG
Molecule: non-coding RNA, 161 nt
Filed under: Chloroflexota bacterium
Lineage: Bacteria; Bacillati; Chloroflexota
Description: Chloroflexi bacterium SAM-I sequence
Rfam family: SAM riboswitch aptamer (S box leader)
About the family: The SAM riboswitch is found upstream of a number of genes which code for proteins involved in methionine or cysteine biosynthesis in Gram-positive bacteria.
Source: RNAcentral